GGAAGCCCUCUGAUCUCUCAGAAACUGAACAGACAGCUUGUUCCCAGGAAGGGGACCAAUGAGAGCAAAGGGGCCAAGUCCAGUCAGCUGGAACUAAGGGAGGCCCAAUCUCAUCAUGAAACCGUUACCUUAGAGGUGGUAGUUCUUGGGCAAGAGGUUGAUGCACUGAUGGUGAUGGUUGGGACAAGAUUAACUUGUGCCACCCAUUUGGGAGUUAGCGGCUCCACCAUGAAUUACAAACCCUUCAAAGACUGAGGACAGUACCUGGAAGCGUAAAGACUCUAACACACAGCCCGAGGAACAAGGACCUUUCUGAAGCUCCUCUGGUGGCAUCUUACUUGGAUCACUCCUUGACUCCACAUUCUCUCAGCAAAUUGUGACCAUAAGCUGCUGCGGGUUCUUACAAGUGUUUGUCAGAAGUCACCGGUGCUGGAUUCCUGAACUGUCCGUCCUGGCCUUGUCAGUGUUGUCACCAAUGUCACCUUUCUCUGCGAUCUGGAAAAGUUUUCUUCUUUGACCAAAAGCAUGAUGUGGGCCUUGGGAAUAUCAGGUUCCACCUGAAAACUAAAUUGACAAGUUCUUGGCACCAGUGAACAAAUGAAGAGAGCAGAAAAUCUUUCUUCUGAGUCCCACGGAAAAGAAGCAGCCAAACAAGUAACCGGCUCCACAUGAGGUGAGAAGCCUUCCAGGAGAGGGCGCCAGGGUGAGGAUCAGAAUGAUGGGGGAUGUCUUUGUGUCACAUCACUGAACAUACCCUAUCAACGGUCAUGGCCACAAGCUGGGCGGAUCUCAGCUUGCUGCGCAGUCUGUGUCAAGUUCAGGACGUCGGGAAAUAACAAACUUGGAAGGAGAUCACACAAACCCCCACCUGAUGUGACGGAGCGGCAGCCCUUAUGUUCAAAGAAUAAUCAGUCCAAAGGAGUCUUCAGCAGGCAAACAGUCACCACGUGGGAGUCUUGUGCUGUGCACCGCGCAGUCCCAGAUGGCCAACAGCUGCGGCAGACAGCAGAUCUGAGGGGCAGGUGACAAAGCCUAUGUGUUUCCACAGUGACUACCCCGGGGUCGUUGAUGUUUUCACCUACGUCAAAAAGCUCCAGAUUGAAUUCUGCUAAAAUGUAAAUAUGGAAUUUGCCUUCAAGCAAAGGUAAGCCUCUUCCCCAGUAGCAAUGUUUUGUUUAGUUUUCAACAAAAUGUCUGUUGACAGAUGACCCACAUUUUUAUUGAUUUCCUAUAUCACACUUCACAGAACACUUGUAUUGGAACAAACACCAGAACCUAAAUCAACACUUUCCCAAAUGGCGGUCCUCAAAAAGUUCAUCUAGAGAUUCCAGUAGCCCUAGAAGGAAGUAUGUGUUCCAAGAUCAAAACAGUUUUGGAAAAUGCUGCGUACUCUAUUUUCUCUCAGUGGUUUACAGUACUUGGUACCCAUUCAAGCCAGUAGUUCAGUAGUUAAAGAAACACACACAGCUGACAAAGACACACACACACAUUUAUUUAACCCAAUGUUAUGAAAUAUAUCUUGAGAAGAGGUUUUUUGUUUUUUUUUUUUUUUUAGUACCAUAUCUUUAAAUACCCUUUAAAAGGAUGUUCUGUGGAAUACCAGUUUGGAAAGUUUGUCCUAAAGCUAUUGACUAAUG
Molecule: long non-coding RNA, 1637 nt
Organism: Camelus dromedarius (Arabian camel)
Lineage: Eukaryota; Metazoa; Chordata; Mammalia; Artiodactyla; Camelidae
Source: Ensembl